AGAACGAACGCUGGCGGCAUGCCUAACACAUGCAAGUCGAACGAGACCUUCGGGUCUAGUGGCGCACGGGUGCGUAACGCGUGGGAAUCUGCCCUUGGGUUCGGAAUAACAGUUGGAAACGACUGCUAAUACCGGAUGAUGACGUAAGUCCAAAGAUUUAUCGCCCAGGGAUGAGCCCGCGUAGGAUUAGCUAGUUGGUGAGGUAAAGGCUCACCAAGGCGACGAUCCUUAGCUGGUCUGAGAGGAUGAUCAGCCACACUGGGACUGAGACACGGCCCAGACUCCUACGGGAGGCAGCAGUGGGGAAUAGUUGGACAAUGGGCGAAAGCCUGAUCAAGCAAUGCGCGUGAGUGAUGAAGCCGUAGGUUGUAAAGGCUCUUUACCCGGGAAGAUAAUGACUGUACGGAGUAAUAAGCUCGGCUAACUCGUCGCAGCAGCGC
This 440-nucleotide ribosomal RNA is filed under the name uncultured soil bacterium. Its description in RNAcentral is "bacterial SSU rRNA". It matches the Rfam family "Bacterial small subunit ribosomal RNA", at positions 26 to 518 of the family's 1533-position model. The record is from RNAcentral.